GACAGUGUGUCCGAGUGGUUAAGGAGGUGGACUUGAAAUCCCCUGGGCUCUGCCCGCGCAGGUUCGAUUCCUGCUGCUGUCG
Molecule: non-coding RNA, 82 nt
Organism: Perkinsus marinus ATCC 50983
Lineage: Eukaryota; Perkinsozoa; Perkinsida; Perkinsidae
Source: Rfam